GGAAGUAAAAGUCGUACAAGGUUUCCGUAGGUGAACCUGCGGAAGGAUCAUUAUUGUAUAACCGAGGUGCGAGGGCUGUCGCUGACCCGAAAGGUCGUGCACGCCCGAGUGCCCUCACACACAUCCAUCUCACCCCUAUGUGCACCACCGCGUGGGUCCCCCUUUGGCUUGUUCGGAGGGGGGCUUACGUUUUCACACAAACUUUGUAUGCAGUGUAGAAUGUAUUUUUUGUUUUUGCGAUCACGCAAUCAAUACAACUUUCAACAACGGAUCUCUUGGCUCUC
RNAcentral lists this unclassified non-coding RNA (284 nucleotides) under plant metagenome. RNAcentral's name for it is "partial contains small subunit ribosomal RNA, internal transcribed spacer 1, and 5.8S ribosomal RNA". The stretch from base 1 to 53 matches the Rfam family "Eukaryotic small subunit ribosomal RNA", at positions 1778 to 1831 of the family's 1831-position model. The record is from RNAcentral.